AGAGUUUGAUCAUGGCUCAGAACGAACGCUGGCGGCAUGCCUCAUACAUGCAAGUCGAACGCGAAAACCCUUCGGGGUGAGUAAAGUGGCAAACGGGUGCGUAACACGUGGGAAUCUACCCUUCGGUUCGGAAUAGCUCCGGGAAACUGGAAUUAAUACCGGAUACGGACGACAGUCGAAAGAUUUAUCGCCGAAGGAUGAGCCCGCGCCGGAUUAGCUAGUUGGUAGGGUAAUGGCCUACCAAGGCAACAAUCCGUAGCUGGUCUGAGAGGAUGAUCAGCCACACUGGGACUGAGAUACGGCCCAGACUCCUACGGGAGGCAGCAGUAGGGAAUAUUGGACAAUGGACGCAAGUCUGAUCCAGCAAUGCCGCGUGAGUGAAGAAGGCCUUCGGGUUGUAAAGCUCUUUGAGUAGGGAAAAUAAUGAUGGUACCUACAGAACAAGCCCCGGCUAACUUCGUGCCAGCAGCCGCGGUAAUUC
This 481-nucleotide ribosomal RNA is filed under the name uncultured bacterium. Its description in RNAcentral is "bacterial SSU rRNA". It matches the Rfam family "Bacterial small subunit ribosomal RNA", at positions 8 to 526 of the family's 1533-position model. The record is from RNAcentral.